AUACGGAGGGUGCAAGCGUUAAUCGGAAUUACUGGGCGUAAAGCGUACGUAGGCGGUUCGUUAAGUUAGAUGUGAAAGCCCCGGGCUUAACCUGGGAACUGCAUUUAAAACUGGCGAACUAGAGUUGAGUAGAGGGGAGUGGAAUUUCAGGUGUAGCGGUGAAAUGCGUAGAGAUCUGAAGGAACACCAGUGGCGAAGGCGGCUCCCUGGACUCAAACUGACGCUGAGGUACGAAAGCGUGGGUAGCAAACGGGAUUAGAAACCCCAGUAGUCC
Molecule: ribosomal RNA, 274 nt
Filed under: uncultured bacterium
Lineage: Bacteria
Description: partial 16S ribosomal RNA
Rfam family: Bacterial small subunit ribosomal RNA
Source: RNAcentral